GGAAGUGUGCCCGAGCAGGGACUACAUUGAUAGAGUAGACACGGAGAAAACACUCCCACUUCCC
This 64-nucleotide transfer RNA is filed under the name Leptodeira polysticta. RNAcentral describes it as "tRNA-Ile". Lineage: Eukaryota; Metazoa; Chordata; Lepidosauria; Squamata; Dipsadidae. The record is from RNAcentral.